RNAcentral lists this ribosomal RNA (497 nucleotides) under uncultured bacterium. RNAcentral describes it as "partial 16S ribosomal RNA". It matches the Rfam family "Bacterial small subunit ribosomal RNA", at positions 28 to 507 of the family's 1533-position model. The record is from RNAcentral.
GAUGAACGCUGGCGGCGUGCCUAAUACAUGCAAGUCGAGCGAACAGACGAGGAGCUUGCUCCUUUGACGUUAGCGGCGGACGGGUGAGUAACACGUGGGUAACCUACCUAUAAGACUGGGAUAACUCCGGGAAACCGGAGCUAAUACCGGAUAAUAUUUCGAACCGCAUGGUUCGAUAGUGAAAGAUGGCUUUGCUAUCACUUAUAGAUGGACCUGCGCCGUAUUAGCUAGUUGGUAAGGUAACGGCUUACCAAGGCAACGAUACGUAGCCGACCUGAGAGGGUGAUCGGCCACACUGGAACUGAGACACGGUCCAGACUCCUACGGGAGGCAGCAGUAGGGAAUCUUCCGCAAUGGGCGAAAGCCUGACGGAGCAACGCCGCGUGAGUGAUGAAGGUCUUCGGAUCGUAAAACUCUGUUAUUAGGGAAGAACAAACGUGUAAGUAACUGUGCACGUCUUGACGGUACCUAAUCAGAAAGCCACGGCUAACUACGUG